RNAcentral lists this ribosomal RNA (292 nucleotides) under uncultured Thalassovita sp. RNAcentral describes it as "uncultured Thalassobius sp. partial 16S ribosomal RNA". It matches the Rfam family "Bacterial small subunit ribosomal RNA", at positions 29 to 334 of the family's 1533-position model. The record is from RNAcentral. Lineage: Bacteria; Pseudomonadati; Pseudomonadota; Alphaproteobacteria; Rhodobacterales; Roseobacteraceae.
AACGAACGCUGGCGGCAGGCCUAACACAUGCAAGUCGAGCGCGCCCUUCGGGGUGAGCGGCGGACGGGUUAGUAACGCGUGGGAAUAUACCCGAAGGUAGGGAAUAGCCUCUGGAAACGGAGAGUAAUACCCUAUGUGCCCCCAUUUAGAGAUAUUUGGGGGGAAAGAUUUAUCGCCUUUGGAUUAGCCCGCGUUAGAUUAGAUAGUUGGUGGGGUAAUGGCCUACCAAGUCUACGAUCUAUAGCUGGUUUUAGAGGAUGAUCAGCAACACUGGGACUGAGACACGGCCCAG